CGGGUGAGUAAUACAUCGGAACGUGUCCUGUAGCGGGGGAUAACCUCUCGAAAGAGAGGCUAAUACCGCAUACGACCUAUGGGUGAAAGAGGGGGAUCGCAAGACCUCUCACUAUUGGAGCGGCCGAUGUCGGAUUAGCUAGUUGGUGGGGUAAAAGCCUACCAAGGCUACGAUCCGUAGCUGGUCUGAGAGGACGGCCAGCCACACUGGAACUGAGACACGGUCCAG
RNAcentral lists this ribosomal RNA (228 nucleotides) under uncultured bacterium. RNAcentral describes it as "partial 16S ribosomal RNA". It matches the Rfam family "Bacterial small subunit ribosomal RNA", at positions 103 to 334 of the family's 1533-position model. The record is from RNAcentral.